This 480-nucleotide ribosomal RNA is filed under the name uncultured Bacteroidota bacterium. RNAcentral describes it as "bacterial SSU rRNA". It matches the Rfam family "Bacterial small subunit ribosomal RNA", at positions 28 to 505 of the family's 1533-position model. Lineage: Bacteria; Pseudomonadati; Bacteroidota. The record is from RNAcentral.
GAUGAACGCUAGCGGCAGGCUUAAUACAUGCAAGUCGAGCGAGAAGCAUUCCUUCGGGAGUGUGGACAGCGGCGAACGGGUGCGUAACGCGUACACAACUUACCUCUUAGAAGAGAAUAGCCCCGGGAAACUGGGAGUAAUACUCUAUAUUAUUACACAUUCGCAUGUUUGUGUAAUGAAAGCUCCGGCGCUAAGAGAUGGGUGUGCGUCCCAUUAGGUAGUUGGUGAGGUAAAGGCUCACCAAGCCAGCGAUGGGUAGCGGGUCUGAGAGGAUGAUCCGCCACACGGGCACUGAGACACGGGCCCGACUCCUACGGGAGGCAGCAGUAAGGAAUAUUGGUCAAUGGAGGAAACUCUGAACCAGCCAUGCCGCGUGCAGGAUGACGGUCCUCUGGAUUGUAAACUGCUUUUAUAUAGGAAGAAAACGCCCGAUUCAUUGGGAACUGACGGUACUAUAUGAAUAAGCACCGGCUAACUCCG